This 403-nucleotide ribosomal RNA is filed under the name uncultured bacterium. RNAcentral describes it as "partial 16S ribosomal RNA". It matches the Rfam family "Bacterial small subunit ribosomal RNA", at positions 30 to 526 of the family's 1533-position model. The record is from RNAcentral.
AUUGAACGCUGGCGGCAGGCCUAACACAUGCAAGUCGAGCGAGCGGCGGACGGGGGAGUAAUGUAUGGGGACUGCCCGAUAGAGGGGGAUAACUACUGGAAACGGUAGCUAAUACCGCAUACUAUCGGAUAACCCAUAUGGGAUUAGCUAGUAGGUGAGGUAAUGGCUCACAUAGGCGACGAUCCCUAGCUGGUCUGAGAGGAUGAGCAGCCACACUGGGACUUGGCCACGGCCAGGACUCCUACGGAGGCAGCAGUGGGGAAUAUUGCACAAGGGGCGCAAUCCUGAUGCAGCCAUGCCGCGUGGAUGAAGAAGGCCCUAGGGUUGUAAAGUACUUUCAGUCGGGAGGCGUUACCGACAGAAGAAGCCCCGGCUAACUCCGUGCCAGCAGCCGCGGUAAUUC